UCUGGUGGCCAGUGGUUAGAACGUCCGCCUUGAAUGCGGAAGGUCGCAGGUUCGAACCAUGGCCUAGUCAU
Molecule: non-coding RNA, 71 nt
Organism: Potamilus streckersoni
Lineage: Eukaryota; Metazoa; Mollusca; Bivalvia; Unionida; Unionidae
Source: the annotation of a GenBank genome assembly